GAUGAACGCUGGCGGCGUGCCUAAUACAUGCAAGUCGAGCGAACGGACGAGAAGCUUGCUUCUCUGAUGUUAGCGGCGGACGGGUGAGUAACACGUGGAUAACCUACCUAUAAGACUGGGAUAACUUCGGGAAACCGGAGCUAAUACCGGAUAAUAUUUUGAACCGCAUGGUUCAAAAGUGAAAGACGGUCUUGCUGUCACUUAUAGAUGGAUCCGCGCUGCAUUAGCUAGUUGGUAAGGUAACGGCUUACCAAGGCAACGAUGCAUAGCCGACCUGAGAGGGUGAUCGGCCACACUGGAACUGAGACACGGUCCAGACUCCUACGGGAGGCAGCAGUAGGGAAUCUUCCGCAAUGGGCGAAAGCCUGACGGAGCAACGCCGCGUGAGUGAUGAAGGUCUUCGGAUCGUAAAACUCUGUUAUUAGGGAAGAACAUAUGUGUAAGUAACUGUGCACAUCUUGACGGUACCGAAUCAGAAAGCCACGGCGAACUACGU
This 496-nucleotide ribosomal RNA is filed under the name uncultured bacterium. RNAcentral describes it as "partial 16S ribosomal RNA". It matches the Rfam family "Bacterial small subunit ribosomal RNA", at positions 28 to 506 of the family's 1533-position model. The record is from RNAcentral.